UUCAAUAUUGGUGGCAGCAGGUAUAUAUUUGGGCUAUGAUAUAAUUGAAUAGAUCUAGGGAAGUCCCAGAUGAUUUCUAGUGAGGACAUGUAUAUCUAGAUUAUGAUUGAAUUCUAUAUGUAUACGUAAAUAUUAGUAGACUUUGAUUGAUAUGAUUUCUAUACGUAUACGUAAAUAUUAGUAGACUUUUGGUUGAUAUUUUAAUCACUCAUCUAUAAAUUCCAACCUAUAUGUCUUUUUUUAUCAUCACAACAACCACAGCAUGGAUACUAUUGGAGCUGAUACUAAAAUAUCCAAUACCUACUUGCCUGAAAAGCCUGAACUUUCACCAACUUUGAUUUCAGACACUGAACUCCUAUCUGAAUUCUCACACCAUGUCCAAAACAUAGCUAGAAUCAAUAAUGGAAGCUUUGGUUGUUGCCCGAAGAGUGUUAUAUCAGCACAGCAGAAGUGGCAACUUGAGUUCCUCAAACAACCUGAUGACUUUUACUUCAAUCGGCUGAAAGAUGAGAUUUUGAAAUCCAGACUUGUGAUCAGAGACUUGGUCAAUGCUGACCAUGUUGAUGAAAUAUCAAUUGUUGAUAAUGCCACCACUGCUACAGCCAUUGUGUUGCAGAGUGUUGCUUGGGAAUUUUUGCAAGGGAAGUUUAACAAAGGUGAUGCUGUUGUCAUGCUUCAAUAUGCUUAUGGCGCUGUGAAAAAAUCUCUGGAAGCAUAUGUUACGCGUGCAGGUGGGUAUGUUAUUGAAGCUUGGUUUCUAUUUCCUGUUAAUUCUGAUGGUGAGAUUGUCAGUGAGUUUCGGAAAGCUUUAGAAAGAGGGAAAGCCAAUGGUAGGAAAGUCAGAUUGGCUAUGAUUGAUCAUGUGACGUCUAUUCCUAGUGUUCCGAUUCCGGUUAAAGAAUUGAUCAAGAUUUGUCGGGAAGAGGGUGUCGAUAAAGUAUUUGUUGAUGGUGCACAGGGGAUUGGGUGUGUUGAUGUUGACAUGAAAGAAAUUGGGGCUGAUUUUUACACUGGUACUUUGAACAAGUGGGUUUUUUGCCCGCCUGGGGCAGCGUUUUUGUAUUGUAGGAAAUCAAAUGAAAUUGAUGAUUUGCAUCACCCUGUGGUGUCUCAUGAGUAUGGAAAUGGGUUGGCUAUCGAGAGUGCUUGGAUUGGAACUAGGGAUUAUAGUGCCCAACUGGUGGUUCCUCAAGCUUUGGAGUUUGUUAACAGAUUUGAAGGGGGAAUUGAAGGAAUCAAGAAGAGGAAUCAUAAAGCUGUUGUUGAGAUGGGGGAGAUGUUGGCAAAAGCAUGGGGAACCCAUCUUGGGUCUCCUCCGGAGAUGUGUUCAAGCAUGAUCAUGGUUGGCUUGCCUGCUAUUUUGGGUAUUUCUAGUGAUUCCAUUGCUUUAAAGUUGAGAACCCACUUGAGGAAUAAUUUUUCUGUUGAAGUACCUAUCUAUUAUAGGGUACCGGGUGAUGGAGUGGUUAACCCAGUUACAGGAUACGCUCGAAUUUCUCAUCAUGUUUACAACAAGCCAGAUGAAUACUACAAGUUCAGAGAUGCAGUUAAUCAACUUGUUAAUGAUAAGUUCACUUGUGCACUUCUCGCAUGGUAAAGAGGUAUGUUUUAGAUUCACUGAUUGUAACAUUCUGUUAGCUAUUUUAGGUGGGAUCUAUUUUUAUAUGCCUGUUGGUUUUUGGUAAUUCAUUUCUCUUGGAUAACUGCAAUUAUGAGGCAGCAACCUAUGGUGAAUGUUAAACUAUGUAGAGUUAUUAUUUUUGAGGAUAUCGUGAUAAAGAACCUGCACAAGUUGUCAUAAAACCUGCACAAGUUGAGACAUUUUGAACUGCAAAUAGUAUCUUUUCAUUUGCCGGACAGAUUUACUCAUGGUCAAAUGCUAUGACUGUCCGAGCAAAGAUCAGGCCGUCAGAGACUUUUUGAGCAAUUAGCAAUAUUAUUGCUUUCAUUGAUUUGGAACCAAGAAUGAGGGUAAAUUAUUAUUGGCAAAAUUGUGAGCACUUUCUAUCGUUUUAGGUCAUUAUCAUUGUUCUGUGUUGACUCGUAUGUUCCAGGUCUUCUGUCAAGCAAUUUUUAGCAAGGUUCUUAGAAAUUCCUUAAACAAAGAAGAUAAUGAUUCUGUGAUCCAACUAUUUGCAGUACUUGUGAAACUAUUUUCUUAUUAUGUCAUAAGUUGUUUCUAACAUAUAGACUUGUCUGUUUCUCUGUAGUUGAAUGAUGUGCAGUAGCAAUCUUCCGCCAACUUACGAAUAAGGGCAAUUUGUCUCUCCCUGGAAGGCAUAAAUAUAUGUAUGUAUAAUACUAUAAUGUAAUGUAUCAGAGAAAUAAGAAGAGCAGAAAGAGUUUUCUUUUGCUUAUUUGCUGGGGCUCCAUGAGAGUUAUUCCUGUACAUGUUCAAAUAUCCAUUCUAGGAGGCAAACUAAUGGGAUCAUCUCACGGAACUCAGCAAGUGAUUAUUAUUAAGUGUAACUCUUGGGAUUAGGAUUCUCCUCUAAUCUUAAGCUUCUCUAAUCUUCUUUUAAUGAUUUGAUUUUGAUCCCUGUGUAAUUUUUAAAGAUUUUAUUUAUUUAUUUCUUAAUAAAUCUCAUUCAAGAUAGUUCUUGAUACAUUUUUACUUUUAGCUCAUAUGUUAUUUAACCAACGGUAAACAUAAAGCAUCUGUUCUCUAAAUUUAGUCAAUAUAAUCAGGCAUGAAGUGACCUUGCUUAUUGUCCAUUAGAGAAUUAAUUUGGGCGCUUAAUUUUUAUCAAUUGAAUCCGAUAAUACCCGUUCAUGCUAAAUUAAAUUCAUUAUAGUAAUUUUUUAAAAAAACUUAAUUUUAUUUUUUAUUUUUUAAGAUAAAGGGUGGGUAAAAUUUAAAUUUAUUUUUUAAUCCCUUCUUAAGACUCAAACUUAAAUGGCUAGUUAGAUAAAACUAUUUGAAGAAAGAGAAACAGCAUGUGAGAUCUUAAAACAAAUUGUUUGAAGAUAGAGAAAUAGCAUGUGAAUAGAGGUGGGCAUGGUUCGGUCCGGUUUGGUUCAGAUCGAAAUUAAGCGGUUAUUUUAUAAAAAGAACCAAAUAAGAACUGAAAUCAAUAAAAAUUUCGGAUCGGGCCUAUUUUGAAUUUCUAAAUUUUUAACCCAUUAGGUCUCAUGAAUAUAAUAAUUUUUUUCAACAAUUAAUUUAUCCUAAUUUCAUUACAAAUAUUAACAAUAAAUACAAAGUAUUCAAAACACAUUUUAUCACUAAUAUCUUACUAACUACUAAUAAGGUACUUAUAAAAUAUAAAAUAUUAAGAUUUCAAAAUACAUAAUCAAACUUCAAUACUCCAUCUACAUAAACAUAAUGUUGUAAAAACAAAUAAAAAUAACAAAAAUUAAAACUUACAACACAAAAUAAAAAGAAAAUUUGGAAACAAACACCAACAACAGUUUUUAAAUAUAUAUAUAUAUACCCGUAAUCGUGUGUGUGCAUGCCUAUUUUAGUUAUCUUACGCAACCAAUUUAAAUUUAAUAUGUGUCUAUUUAAAUAAAAUUUCAAGAAUAACCCGGUUUUUCGGUUCAGCUGAGUAAACCAAAUACCGAACCUGCAUUUCGUUUUUUUUCUACAAACCAUAUAUUUCGGUUAUUUUUUAAAAUUAAAACCGGUCCGAACGGAAUGGUUCGGAUCAGUUCAGUUCGGUUUUCUUUAAUGCACGGUUUUUUUGCCCAUCCCUACAUGUGAGAGUGAGACCCUAAAAAAAAUAAAUUCAAGUCAAACACUACAGAAGUGCUUUAGAGCAUAGACUCACCUGUACAAUGUGAUAAUGAUAUGGUCUAUUUUGUUUGCUUGAAGAUGAUGCCAAAUUGAGGCUGGUGAAAGUUGUGUGAAAAUCACCUUUAUCAGUAGGUGACAACUAAAGAAGGAAACUAGUUCCAUGUACAUUGUAGGUGACAACUAGGGAUGGACAAUCAAUUCAAUUACUAGCUAGAAUUUGAAGAAUGAUGGAUGAUAGCAACAAAAAUGACAAUUUGAGAUUGAGUGAUUGAAUCGACUUAUUUCAUUUUUCAAUAUAGGUAUUUUAUCAUUACAAACUAAAGAUGUAAAAUAGACCAGUCCGACGUGACACAAAUCUAGCAUAAAAAAAUUGACUUGCUAGCAUGACACGAGUGUUUAAAUGAAUCUACUCCAACCUCACAUUUUAAAUUUAUGUGUGAUUUGUUUGCUAUUAUUAUUGGAGAACUAUAGCUUAAAAAAGCCACGGACGUAAAAGAUGAGUGUUUCAACAAAACAUGAAUACUAAUGAGUCAAUGUUGUGCAGAGCCUGGAUCAACCCUUUAAAAAUUAAGCCCAACACGACGGUCUAUCAUCCAAGCUAUUCAAAACAUUUCUUCUACUGCAAAUUAUUAUUUAUUCAUGCAACUUCAAUUCCUCUAAUGCUUAGAGAAAGAACAGUCGAAAAUAACUAGCUAAUUAAUUAAAGCAGUAAGGCUCUUAAUUAAUAUAUUGAAUGUUGCUUCGCCGAUGUUUGAACUUUUCUCCCCUUUUAACACACUAUUGAAAAUAACUAACUGAACAUAAAUAAAAGAAAUCACAAUUUCAUUAUUUUUUACUUGAACAAAAUUUCUAUGAUUAUGUACAAUUUCAAUAUUUACAGCGUGUUGGCGCCUUUUGCAUUAGGAUAUAAUUAAGGUGUGUAGCUUUUUUAGCACACUUUUUUUUAAUUGGUUCAAGAAUAGUCUCCAUUUGUUUUUCUUUCGUUUUGAUUGUAGCAGUAUAGAAGAAAGACGCACCAUAAAGUAUAAUAACCAAAAAAAAAAGGAAAAAAAAAGAAAAAAAAAACAAUUAGAUUAGAGGUACCCAAAACACUAAAAACUCACCAAAAUUAUGUGUAAGUCACACAAAAGACCUGUUGCGCCAUUCACCAAAUUUUUUAACCUUUUUGAGUUGGUAAUUAAGCAAAUACUGGAAACAGAACGAAAACGAAGAAUCAAUAUGACAUGAACGGCCUAACUCGUCUGUCGGAUUUGAGAUAGAUCGCGUCGAAACUCAACGUAGUACUUAUCUCAUGCUCAUAUCUAAAAGCUUAUAUCAUAAAUUUAACCCAGGACUAUACAUAAAAUUGGUUUCGGUCUCUACCAUAAAUAUAAAAUAGCAUCUAUACCUCAUUCGAAAACAUAUUCAAAAUUUUCACAGUUCGAAUUUCAUUGUACAUACAUACACUUUAAAUCUAUACAUAUAAACAUAAACGUGCCCAAAAUGUAAGUUAUGUAGCAAUGUGUGUUACGUCCCAACCUUAACUAAUUGGAAACUAAACUGCACGAAAUCUUAUGGAAACCUAGGAGAAAUGGGUAAAUAAGAAAAUAAUGAGCUAGAGUUCAAUGAGUGGAUAUAAUUGAUAAGUGCAUAUUUUCUCUAUAUUUUACAAUUAAUUUCUCCAACUUUUUCUUGUUUUGGUGUUAAAUACUCUAAUUAUUUUAGUUUAUUUUAUUAUGUUAAUUUUUGUCUUACUUUUUAUAAUAUUUUAUUAUUGUAGAUUUUAUCCUUAAUUUAAUAUUUGCUAGUUAAUUAUAUUAUUUUAUUUGAUAGGGAAUUAAUUGGAGAUUAUGGAUAAAAAUGGCAUGAAGAAUUUCAAUUUGGGAAACAAUCAAGAUUAAAUUGGAAAUCAAUUGAAAGACAAGGGAAAAUAAACUCAAGAAGCCGUGGCCAACAAGAAUUUGAAGAGCAAAAGUUGCAAGUCAAUUUCGUCAAGCUUCGAAUGGACAUGCAUUAUUGGAAAAUAAACUAUUUACUUUGGCAAUUGCAUGUGCAUGGCAAUAAAAAAAGGGAAUGAAAAUCCUAAAUGUGAUUCUAAGUGCUUGCACGUACAUGGAUUCACUUGACCAAUUUAAAAAGAUUGUAUGUAUGUCUUGCCAAAGUUAGGAUGCACGUGCAUGGCAUUAAAUUAUGGAAAGCAAAGUGAAAAAAAAAAAGGAAACGGCGAUAUUUAAGCAUGCACAUGAAUUGCCAAAGAAAAGGUCGGUGGCGUAUGCAGAAUAAAAAGCCAACGUUUGGCUUUCGAAAAAAGGACAAUCGGCAGCCAAGAGGAAUUGAAGAGAAAGCAGCGGCAAGAAGAACGAAAAAAAAAUAGAGGAGGUGGCCUCUUGAAUUAAUCUCUAUGUCUCUUUUUAUUAAUUUUUUUUAUUUCUAAUUUAAUUAUGUUAGGCUAGAUUUUUUAUUUGGUUAAGGGUGAAUUCAGAACCCCAAACAUGUCAUAUGAUUAAUGUUCAAUUUCUAUCAUUCAAUUUAUUUAAUUGAGAUUGUUUAUGUUCUUCCAUAAUUAAUGUUUAUGAUUUUAUUCUUAUCUUAUUUGAGUGGCCAAUUAGAUAGGAUUUGAAUAAAUUCUAUUGCUAGAUUAAAAUUCUUGAUCCGUAAUUGUCUUGAUGUUUUAAUCAUUAGUAGCAUGUUAGAAUCAAUUAUUUCAAUUGGAGAACAUAACCUAGGUUAAAUAAUCCGAUCUUGUAUGUUUAUUACCUAGAUCAAUCUAAUAUCUUUCUCUACUUAAUACUUCUAUUAUCUUAAAUUUAAAGAACUUGUUUUAAAUUAUUUAAUGGUUAGAGAUUAGGUGAAGAGCUUGUUUUGCCUAACGAUACUCUAAGAAAAGAUUGAGACUAACUGAGCUUAUUGUUGUCUACGGUUGAUAGUUUCAAUAGAAAUUGAUGAUAUAAUUGAUAUAUUAUGUGCAUGUUUGGUGGUGACGAAUGAUUUUUUAACCACGGUUUUCAUCAUUAUUAUUUCUUUCUCCUUUAAUUGGAGUUUUUAUUAAAUUAUUGUUUUUGUAAUUUUAAUUUCUUUAUUUCUUGCUAUUUAUUUAAAAAUUCAUAAAACACCCCUUUUUAUUUAUAAUUGGAAUUUUCUUUAGUUAAAUUAAUUUAUAUUAUUAUUACUACUAUUAUUUUAUUUUAAAUCCUGCUUUAGAGUUGAUAAUAAAUACAACUAGUAUAGUCUUUGUGGAAUCGAUCCUUACUCGCUCUAUACUAGUUAUUAAUAUUAGUAGUAAGGUUUUAAAUUUUGUGCACCUUAACGACACUACCAAAUUUUUGGCGCCGUUGCCAAGGAUUAGCAUCUAGUUUCUUUAUUAUCACUCAUUUUAUUUUAUUAUUUUUACUUUUUUUUUCAUUUUAUUUGUUUAUUUUAAUUAGUUAUUUUCUGUUCUAUAUUUAGAUUUUUAUGGGUAUAGAGGACAUUCGAUUGAAACUCGAUCAUCUCAGAGCAACCUCAUCACAUUCAGAACUCGAUUUUUCCAUCCACAUUUCAUUCCUGAAGACAGAGCCAGGCAGCCUAGAACCUGAACCAAUAGCUCAGAACAACAAUCUAACACUUAAAGAGUUGGUAGCUCCUAACUUGGACCAGCAACCAUUAUGCAUUGAGAAUCCAAAUCCUCAGGUUAACUUUGAACUCAAGUCUAGGAUGAUUCAUCUUCUUCCUACUUUUCAUGAUUUUGAAGGAGAGGACCCAAAUAAGCACUUGAAGGAGUUCCAUGUGGUAUGUUCCACAAUGAAACCAGCUGGAGCUUCUGAAGAGCAAGUUAAGCUAAUGGCCUUCCCAUUUUCUUUGGCGGAUUCAACCAAGGAAUGGCUGUACUAUCUUCCCUCUGGUACUGUCACCACAUGGAAUGAGAUGCGUCAGGUAUAUUUGGAGAAAUACUUCUCAGCAUCAAAAGCUGGCAGCAUUUGAAAAGAAAUUUGUGGAAUCCGACAAUAUAAUGGAGAGUCACUCUACGACUACUGAGAACAAUUCAAAAAGCUAUGUGCUACCUGCCCCCACCAUCAGAUAAGUGAUUAACUCCUUAUUCAAUACUUUUAUGAGGGUUUACUUCCUAUGGAUAUGAGUAUGAUUGAUGUCGUUAGUGGAGGAACACUUGUGGAUAAGACACCAGAAGCAGCCCGAAAUAUCAUUGCUAACAUGACUGCUAAUUCCCAACAGUUCAACACUAGGAACGAUCUAUUGCCGCCACCUAAGUGAGUCAAUGGGGUAAGUACUACUUCCCUAGAACAACAAGUUUCAAAUCUUACUUCUUUGGUACAACAGUUAGCCUUAGGGCAACGGGUGAGACCGUGUGGCGUAUGUUCCAUGGUCGGGCAUGUGACUGAUAUGUGCCUUGUUCUCUAAAAGGGUCCCAUGAGCAGGCCAACAACGCAGUUGAGGGGUUCCUAAGCCAACCAAGACAAAUGUAUGAUCCAUACUCUAAUUUUUACAUUGAAGGGUGGAAUGAUCACCCUAAUAUUAUGUAUGGGAACCAACAACAAGGCAUUCCUAAUGUGGCACCAUCUCGACCACUGAGCUACCCUCAACAGCGGGUGCAACAGCCUUACCAAGUCUGGCCACCUUCACCUCCUCAAAGUCAAGGUACAUCUUUCGAAGAUCUUGUAAAAGCUCUCGCUACUAACCCUAUGCAGUUCCAAUAGACUACCUAGACACAACUCCAACACUUAGAGAAUCAAAUUGGCCAACUGGCCACAUCUAUGAGUAGGAUAGAGGCUAGAGUUUCAGGAAAAUUACCUUCUUAACUAGAAAUUAAUCCGAAGGAGAAUGCUAGUGCUAUGUCUCUUAGGUGUAGAAAGCAGUUGGAACCAUUAUUAGCCAAGCCAUCAAAGAUGUCUACAACAUCAUCGCACUUUGUGACCAAUCCCUCUCUUGAGACUAUUCCUUUAAUAAGGAAAGACGAUUCCUAUUCUACAUUGCCAGUUGACCCAUCUGGCCAGGUAAAUACCACCCACCUCGAAUUAAGACCCUUUCUAUUCCUCCACCAUUUCCUAGCUGGUUUAAAUAAUCCAAAAAAGAUGAACAAAAAAAGGAGAUCGUUGAGACCUUUCAUAAAGUAGAGGUAAAUAUUCAUCUACUUGCUGCUAUUAAAUAGGUGCCGUGUUAUGUAAAAUUUUUGAAGGAAUUAUGCAGCAACAAAUGAAAGAUGAACGACAAUGAAAAUGUAAGUGUAGGAGAAAAUGUAUUUGCUGUACUUCAAAGAAAACUUUCUCCUAAGUGCAAGGAUCUAGGUACUUUUACUAUCCCCUGCACUAUUGGCAAUACCAGAUUUGAAAGAUGUAUGCUAUAUUUAAGGGCCUCAAUUAAUGUUAUGCCAUAUUCGAUUUAUAACUCCUUGAAUUUAGGUCCAAUGGAAGAAACUGCUAUAAUUAUUCAAUUGGCUGAUAGAUCUAAUGCUUACCCAAAGGGGGUUGUGGAAGAUGUUCUUGUGCAGGUCAAUGAAUUGGUCUUUCCAGUUUUUUUUUAUAUCCUUGAAAUAGAGGAUGAGUCAUUGCCCAAUCCUACUCCUAUUCUGUUGGGGCGACCAUUCCUUAAGACAGCCCGAAGCAAGAUUUAUGUUCAUGAUCGAACCCUCACAAUGGAAUUCGAUGGUGAAAUGAUCUGUUUCAAUAUCUUUGAGGCAAUAAUGUAUCCUAGUAAUGUACAUUCUGUCUUUGCCAUAGAUGAUAUUAAUACUUUGGUGCAUGAUUUCUUUGAGUUAUCCGGUAAUGAUAGUUUUGAAACUGCCAUAAUAAAAAAUCUUACGAAAGAUGAUUCUAAGGAACAAAUAAAUUUGAUAAAGUUGGAUGAUGAGGUAGAGAAAGCUAUGAGGAUCUUAGAUGGAGCAACCCCAUUACGUACCAGUGGGUAUAAUGUUUCUUACCUUGAAUUGCCUUUUUCCAAUGAGAAACUUUUACCUUUAGUUAUGCGGGCACCUACCUUAGAACUUAAGCCACUCCUAGAGCACCUGUAAUAUAUUUACUUGGGUGAGAAUGAAACACUUCUUGUCAUAAUUGCUAAAACCCUCACUUCAAUUCAAUAAGAAAAGCUAAUUAGGGUGCUUCGGGAUCACAAGACGGUGAUUGGUUGGACCAUUGCCGACAUUAAAGGAAUUAGUCCUUACAUGUGUAUGCAUCAUAUUUUACAACACCGCCUUAAUCCACUAAUGAUGAAAAUCAUAAAAAAGGAGAUAUUGAAACUCUUUAAUGUGGGGAUUAUAUAUACCAUUUCUGAUAGUAAAUGGGUGAGUCCUGUGCAGGUAGUUCCAAAAAAAUCGAGCAUCAUAGUGGUCAAGAAUGAAGAAAACGAGCUUGUGCCAACUAAAGUCCAAAUUGGGAGGAGGGUUUGCAUUGACUACCGUAAACUGAAUGUGAUUAGUAUUAAAAAUUGUUUAAUUAUCAAGCGAUAAUAAUGUUAUUUUGUGCUUAUGUUAUAAUUUAUAUUUAUGUUUAUGCAAUAUAUUAGAAAUUAUUAAUUAUGUAUUAAAUAUAUCUAAUUUUGUGUGUUUAUUAGGUAAAAUAUUAAUUUCACGUAAUUCGAGGCUCCAAAUAGAUAAACGAAUGUCAAAUUUGGAUUUUGGAGUUCCGAAAACCUUCAGAUGAGUCAAGAUCAGCUUAUAAUUGGACUUGUGUAAAUAGAGUUGACUUUUUUCUGUUGACCGAGUAUUGAUUGAAUGAUAAAAUAAGCUUACAAUAGAUGAGUGCAUGGGAUAGCUAGCAAUUUUGACUAAAUCUCAACCGUUCAUGAUUCAAUGGCCAUGAUUAUGCCACGUGGUAAUGAUUGGUGAAGCAAGUUGUAGGAUCCGAAUCUUUGUAUUCGGGUCAACCCAAUCCAUCUAAACCUGCCAAAUCUCAAUUGUUCUUUGGCCAAAUCAGACGAGUCAAAUGAUGCCACGUGUAAUGUUGACUUUUGAAGUUUGAUCAGCCGUUGGAUCUUGAUCUAAUGGUUGUGAGGAGCGCAUGCAUGAAGCUUAUGAUGGACCGCAAAACACUAAAUUAUGAAUUUAUUUUUCUAUAAAUAAAACAUCAUUUUUAUGUUUUUAAUCAUCUCUCUACGUCUCUUUUCUUCUCAAAGUCUCUCAAUCUCUCUGUAAUCUUAUUUUCCAGGUGUGUUUUUAAUAUUUUGUAUAAUUAUUUUUAUAAAUAAAUUUAGUUUUAUUUUCAAUUUUAGUUGUUCUUAUUACUUUUAAUUAUAAGUAAUUUAAUUUUAAUAAUUCUUUUUAUUUCAAUUAUACUUAACUAAAUAAUAAUAGUUAGGGUAAGGUGAAACUCUUAGGAAUUUGCCUGUAAUGACUAAUUUUCGGGCUUUAUCUAUAAAAACUCAACUCCAACUUCAAUUUUAAGAUUCUAGCAAGCAUAAACAAGUUUGAAACAACAUAUUUUGAGCUUCCAAUUCGCAAAUUAUCAUAGAUUAAAUCUUCAUUGUGCUAUCAUUUGUAUAUUCACUCUAAAAGAGAGUUGUUUCUUGUAAUUUUCAUUUCUUUAUCAAAUUUGUGAGCGUUUGAGUGUGAGAAACACUUGAGUUAAGAGAUUGAGGGAUAAUCUCUUGUUGUAAAGGUUCAUUGACACCUUAGAAGUAAGGAUGGCAAAAUUAGGGUCCGGGUUCGGGUUUGGCCUUCCCGGUUCCGGACCUAGAUACUAAAAUUCUAUACCAGAUCUAGAUUUAAACCCGAUUUUUGUGACACUGGGUCUGGUACGAGUUAAACCCGGAAUAAUCCGGGUUUCCGGAUUGUGAAUUUUCAACCCGGAUCACAUACAAAUAAAAAAAUAAAAAAAUCAAAUACACUUUACAAAUUUGCAAAACCAUAUUCGACACAAAUCAAAUACAAAGCAAUAAACCAUUAUGAUUUUAAAUAUCAAAACAAUAAACCAUUUACAAAUACAAAUCCAUGACAUGACAUUCACAAAAUACAAAUUCAUGUCUACAACUCAAAAUCGUGAUUCACGAAUUUGGUUCACAAACUUCAACAAUCGGUGUUCGGCGAAGUAACGAACAACGGUGGCUGAUGAUAUGAUGAUGAUGAACACAUCACAGCCGCAAGCAUGAUUCGCAAAAGGCGAAUCAACGGCGGCUAAAACUAAGAUCGCGAUGGACAAACAACGGCCAAACAGAGGUUGGUGAUGAUAAUGAAGGUGAACACAGUGAAGCAAAGUGAUGAGGAGUGACGACGAUGAGUUGAUGAAGAGAAGAACUGAAGAGGGACGAACAUGGUGAUUUGAUGAAGAGAAAAGAAAGAGGUGAAGAAAGGCGGCUGUGAAAGGGUGAAAUGGAUUUAAGGCAUCAACAUUCUUUCCCCUUUUUUAUAUUAAAAUAUAAUUUAAAGAUUAUGCUAAAAUAAAGAUAUCCGGGUUCGGGUUCCGCAUAUGCGGGUUUAUGCGAACCCGGAAAUGUCUGGGUCGGUAAAAUCGUAUCUGGAUACUGGAUUAUUUCAAUCCGGUAUGGGUUAAACCUAGCCCGAAUUAUUUGGGUUAGACUGGGUCUUGGCCGGGUCCGGGUUAAAUUGCUAUCCCUACUUGGAAGUCAAUUGUAAACAUUUGAAACCUUGAGAGGCUUGGUUAGUGAAGUUCUCAAGCUUGGUUUGGUUGAAGGCGUGGACGUAUGCGAGGAUUGCCGAACCACGUAAAAAUCUUUGUGCUUCCUCUCUCUUCCCUUACUCUUUUAUUUUUUAGUAUUAUUAAAUUUAUUAUUUUUGAUUUUAGUAUUGUUAAAUUUAUUAUUUUUUAUUUCAUUAAGGCAUUAUAUUAAAUUGUUGUGCGAUUUAUUUAGCUUAAGUUUUAAAAACCCAAUUCACCCCCCUCUUGGGUUGUAUAACUAGUAUUUCAUUUGGCAUCAGAGCUUGGUUCUCUUAUUCGGACUUAACCGUCUAGAGUAAAAGAUACAUGACAACGCAAAAUGACUUAACCUUUAGGGAAGGACAGUCUACAACUAGACCACCGUUCUUUGACGGUAAUGACUACCCAUAUUGGAAAACUAGGAUGAGAAUUUAUUUACAAGCUUUAGAUUAUGAAAUUUGGGAAGUUGUUUGUGAUGGUCCAUUUAUGCCUAUGACUAAAAAUGAAAUAGGAGAUGAUAUUCCAAAACCUUCAAGUCAAUGGAGUGAGUUAGAAAAGAAAAAAAUAUCUUUAAACUCCAAGGCAAUGAAUGCUUUGUUUUGUGUUCUAAAUAAAAAAGAGUUUCAUAGGGUGUCAAGUUGUGAGAGUGCUAAAGAAAUAUCAACUGAAGGAAUUUAUGUCGAUUCUCAAAAGAUCGAAGCAGUUGGAAAUUGAGAACGACCUACAAAUGUCACAGAGGUUUGGAGUUUCCUUGGAUUGGCUAGUUAUUAUCGCAGAUUUAUGGAGGGAUUCUCCAAGAAUGCUAUUCUUUUGACACGAUUAACCAAAAAGAAUGUUAAGUUCCAAUGGGAUGAUCACUGUGAAAAGAGUUUUCAAGAACUUAAGACAUGUCUUACUUCAACACCAGUUCUUACACUUCCUUCUAGUAAUGAAGGGUUUGUAGUAUACAAUGAUGCCUCUAGGCAAGGAUUGGGUUGUGUGCUAAUUAAACAUGGGAAAGUAGUGGCUUACGCUUCUAGACAACUUAAAAAGCAUGGUCAAAACUACCCAACACAUGAUUUAGAGCUAGCAGCAGUGGUGUUUGCACUUGAGACAUAGAGGCAUUAUUUAUACGGGGUAACGUGUCAGAUUUUCACUGAUCAUAAGAGCCUGAAGUAUUUAUUUACUCAGAAAGAGUUAAAUUUGAGACAAAGGAGAUGGAUCGAGCUGAUUAAGGACUACGAUUGCACUAUUGAUUAUGAUUCGGGCAAAGCGAAUGUGGUAGUUGAUGCGCUAAGUAGGAAGUCCUCCAACUCUAUAGCUCAAUUGUGAGUUGCAUAUAUGCUUUUGUUGAUCGAGCUGAGAUCUUUGGGAGUUGAGUUGGAAGCUAAUAAUUGCAGAGCUCUAAUAGCUAAUUUUCGAGUUAGGCCGACUUUGAUUGACAAAGUCCAUCAGAUGCAAGAUUAGGAUCCGCAGCUAAUAAAGUUAAGAAAAGAUGUGCAAAAAGACUUGCGAACCGAUUUUACAGUGAGAGAUGAUGGAGUUUUAGUGAUGGGUAAUCGACUUUGUGUACCCGAUAUUGAGGAGUUGAAAAAGGAGAUCAUGGAAGAAGCUCAUUGUUCAGCUUAUGCAAUGCAUCAUGGUAGUACGAAGAUGUAUCGUACCUUGAAGAAUCAUUACUAGUGGCAAGGUAUGAAGAAAGAGAUAGCAGAAUAUAUAUCUCAGUGUUUAGUUUGUCAGCAGAUUAAGGCUGAACAUUAGAGACUUGCAGGGUUUUCGCAGCUGCUUCCUAUCCUUGAGUGGAAGUGGGAGCACAUCACCAUGGACUUUGUAGCAGGACUUCCACGUACCCAGAGUGUGGUCAUGAUAGUGUUUGAGUGGUUGUUGAUCGACUGACAAAAUCUGCUCACUUUUUACUAUUCAAGACUGUUGUGCAAAUUUUAUUGAACUUGCAAGUGCACGAAUCUAUUGUAGAAUAGACUAAUGGUGACGAGUGUCGAUCCCACGAGGAGGUAGAUUUUAAUUGUGUGUAGAAUUAAUUUUGUAAAUGGGUGGUUGAAUUUCUGGUGAAAUUGAUUUGGAAUAUUCUAAAACUUAAAUUAAAAUGGCUAGAAUAAAUUGAAGAUAGAUCUAUUAAAAUGAAGCACUUGGGUAUCCGGAUCCGUAUCAACAUGCACCAUGAGCUAAAUAUUCCUUAUUAAUGCCAAUUAAAUCAUGAGGGGGGAAUCCACACCUCAUGAACCACUCUAUAAUCAAUAUGGUGCUAAGGGCUUAUCGUGCCAAAUAAUAAUAACCUUGUACUAGGGGGCCGGUGAAACCAAGGAGGUACUAGACAAGAUUAGUAUUAUUUGUCGACGAGAAGUCAAAACAUCCACAAAAAUUAGAGGGGAAGAGAAAGUAAAUUUACCAAAUAAAGCCCAUGACACAUGUUGAGACUUCAUCUUCAACCCAAGCUUGAAAGAAAAUUAGCUAUUCAUAAUUGAACUAGGGGCAAAAUGGGAAUUUAUUAAAAUACACAGAAAAUACAAGAUGGAGAAGGAAUUACAGAAAAUGGAGUCCAAAAAUGGAUUCAGAGAUAUCAAAUUAGGCGGGGAAGGCCCCAUUUUUAUAGAUACAUUGAGUAAAUCAUGGCCAUCAGAUUAAAAACAGUUUGGACGCUCAAGAUUGCGCCACGUCAUCAGUCAACAGUACGCGGUUUGACCACGUGGGUGAACAGUAACAUGAUUUGACCCGGCUUUGAACAGUAAUGCGGUUUGGUUGAAAAUAAUCCUGUGUAAUGCAUGUACCGUACACGCAAGUUUUGGUUCACUAAUAUGCUGCCAUGUCACCAUCAACAGUUCAUAAGAAUUUUAGACCAAUAGGAUCAUGGCACCUCAUCAGUCAAUGCCACAUCAUCGGUCAAUGCCACGUCAUCGAUCUGUCUAUGUGAACAAUGUCAUGAACAGUAGCGUAGACAGUACCGUACAUGUGAAUAGUACCGUACAUGUGAACAGUGCCAUUUUUCCUUUUAUGCUCCUUCUAAGGUUUUCGACCGUCUUAAGUUCAAAAGUGAUGUCUGUUUUGCCGUUUGAUCUCUCGUUUAUUGUGAAAUGACUAUGAUACCCCUAAAAUACACAAAAUACUUAAUUAAAAUAAAACACACAUAAUUAAAUUAAAAGAACCUUAAAUACACAAAAGUAAGGGUGUUAGUAAAACUUGAAGUGUAAAAUGACGAUUUUCUCCUUUAUAAAUAUACAUUUUCUAACACUCAACAAAGACCACUUAUUCAAUGGACAAGUUGGGAAGUAUUUAUGUGGCUGAGAUAGUUCGACUUCACGGAGUGCUCGUGUUAAUUGUCUUAGAUAGAGAUUCCCGAUUUACUUCUAAAUUCUAGACCAACUUGCAAAAGAUAUUAGGCACCAAGUUAAAUUUUAGUACAACUUUUCAUCCAUAGACUGAUGGUUAGUCAGACCGUACUAUUCAAACCCUGGAGGAUAUGUUGCAAGCUUGUGUUUUGGAGUUUAAGGGUAGUUGGGACAUUUAUUUACCCUUGAUGGAGUUUGCUUAGAAUAACAGUUAUCAAGCUGACAUCGAGAUAGCACUUUAUGAGGCUUUGUAUGGCAGGAAAUGUAGAACUCCAGUAUGUUGGGAUGAAGUUGGCGAGCGGAGAUUAUUUGGUCCCGAAUUAGUUCAGAAUACUAAUGAGAAUAUACAACUUAUUCGAGAUAUAUUAAAGGUAGCCCAAAAAAAACAAAAGAGCUAUGCAAAUAUGCGUAGGAGGGAACUUGAAUUCAAAGUGGGUGAUAAGGUUUUCAUACGGAUAUCUCAUUGGAAAGAGGUACUUCGAUUUGGGAAGCACGAAAAGCUAAGCCCACGUUACAUUGGAGCAUAUGAGAUCGUGGAGCAUAUUGGUCCGUUGGCGUACCGAUUAGCUCUACCACCUGAGUUAUCCAGAAUCCACGAUGUGUUUCAUGUCUCGAUGCUCUGAAAGUACAUGUAUGAUCCCAGUCAUGUGUUAUCAUGACAACCAAUAGAGUUGAAGGAAGACUUGACUUAUGAAGAGGAGCCAGUGGAAAUACUGGAACAGAAGCACCAAGUUUCGCGUUCUAAAACCAUUCCGUUAGUAAAAGUGUUAUGGAUGAAUCACACAAGGGAAGAGGCUACUUGGGAACGCGAAGACUUAAUGCGAGCCCAAUACCCUCACCUAUUCUCAUCAGAUGUGUAAAUUUCGAGGAUGAAAUUUUUAUAAGGGGGAGGAUUGUAACAUAUGCACUUUAAUUUUCCGAAUUAAGUGUAUUAUUUCCUUUUUCCCCAUCGACAUUAAUUUUAAAUUUAUCGGACUUGUUCUGAAUUAUUAUGGUGAAGUUGAUACAACACGAUUAUCCGACAUUAUGAGUGGUGAUUGUUAAAUGUUAUGCGUUUAUUAAAUAAAUCGUGUUUGGAUUAUUUUAAAUUUGUCAUGACAUAAAAUUGAAACAAUUCGAACAUGAUUCAAUGGCUAUGUAGUCGGAUUUUUAUUUCAACAUGGGUUCGGCGUUAGCAUAAUUGGUAGUAAGCUAAAAAAAAAAUGGAAGCUAGUUUCUAUAAAUAGAAAGAGGGGAGUUGGUUUCCAAAAAGGGAAAGAGAAGGGGCGAGAGAGAAGGAGAAAUUGACAUGUUUGACCCGACCCCACCCUCCAAACCGACCCGCCCUAACUCUCAUUUUCGGCCACCGUUCCGGUCAAGCUUAGAACUGAUAUGAAGUUGGAGCGACGCCGGUCAUAUCCCUGCUGUCAACGUCGCCGAAAAACAGCCAGAACGCCGGCGAUGGAAGCUCGAAAGACCGCGACUCGACCUGUUUUUGUUGCCGUCGAUUUCGCCGGAUUUAGGCAGCGUUACCACUUAGAUCUGGAUUCUCAGCUCACCCUCAUCGUUUUCCAACCAACCCCGCCAUCUGAAACUACCAUUUCGGCCAUGAACAACCGCCGGAAAGCUCGCGACUUGGGAAGCUCGAUCUGCCGCCGUUGCCGUGCGUGGGUGGUCACCACUGGCACCAUUGCACUCAUCGAGGUCAGAACUAUCAAACAUGAGCUUUCUGUCGCCGUUGACUGAAUUUCGGUCACCGUUGACCGGCAAUGGCAAUUCAAUAAUUUCGCAAACUUUGGGGAUUAUUUCGUAAUUUCUGAACUUGGUGGAUAAUUUGGUAAUUCCAGAUUAGGGUAGUGAGGCAACUUAAGAUUUAGGGGUAAUUUGGUAAUUUAUGUUCUUGAGGGCAUUUUGGUAAUUUUGCAUUCUAAGGGUAAUUUCGUAAAUCCAAAAUUUGUGGUUAAUUUUGUGAUCUGAAUUGAGAGCAAUUAGGUAAUUUAGGAUUUUGAGGAUAAUUUGAUAAAUUAUGGUUCUGACGGCAAUUCAGUAAAUUUCCAUGUCAAGGUCAUUUUGGUAAUUUUUGGAUAUAAGGGUAAUUUUGAAAGUUUAUGUAUCCCGAAGUUUUGUUUCGAGCUUUAUUUUGUAUUGUUAGUCGUAUUUCAUGUUACAAAUAAUAACUAUGUCGUUUACUUGAUUAGGAGGACCCGCGAACGAGAAUCAACCCACGGACAUUGUUGAUACCGAGUCUGGACAUCGUCACUGUGAGUGGAAUAUACAAAACCUACUUUCAUAGUAUAUUCUGAUUAUACGAUAAAGUAUAGCAUGUUUUAAUAAUAAGUAUUUGAUGCAUCGAUUUAAUGAUUUUCUAGAAAAUGGACUUUUAUUUACGUGUCGAUAUUUAUUAUUAUCAAGAAUGAGUUUGAUUAAUGAUUUUAUUAUCGUUUUUGAGUAAAUGCAUGGUAAUAAUUUUAAAGAGAAUAAAGUGGAUUUGAAGUAUGUUACGUGGAAAUAAAAUGAGAUUUUAGAUGUUUAUGAAUAUGUAUAUAAAAGGUUAUUUGCAAAAUCAUUGGACAAUACCCUUCCCCUCCAGAUACAGUGAUACAUGUGAUAUGAGAUGAGAAGCCUUUGGGGCUCGUCUGAACACACAUAGAGGCUUUGGGCCAUGUGUUUGGGCGUUUUUACCUUUUGAGGGCAUAUGGAUGCAGUGUGAUGAUUACAAAGAUACAUAUAUUGAGAUACAGAUGGGAUAUGAUGAUACAUAUGGGAUACGGUGAUACAGAUGAAAUGAAAGGCCUUUGAGGCCUGUCUGAGUACACAUAGAGGCUUUGGGUCGUGUGUCUGGGCGCUUUGUCCUUUGGGGACUAGAUUAUGCAUGCAAAAAUAUGAUGAGAUAUGAGAUGACAUUUCCCCGUCUAUCCGUUGUUGCUCCGGGGCAUGAUAGUUCCCUGAUUGCCUGUUCGUUGAGGUCCGGAUAUGAUGAGAUUAUUUCCCUGGGUACUUGUUUGAUGAUAGUUUUGGUAUUCAGUAUUUGAUAUUAUAAGUAUUAUGAUUUCAUUGAUUUUAUACAGAUUUAUGUAAUAUUGUAAUUUCAGUGCAUGAUUUGAAUUAAAUAAGUUUAUGUAAGUUCUUAUGAUAUUUUGAUGAAAUUGAUUUGGGAAAGAUUAAAUCAUUUUUAAAUAAAUUUAUUUUUCAAAAAAUACUAUUCACUCAUUGAGCUUAUUGAGUUUUAUACUCACUUCGUUUUUAUUAUAUUUUUCCCCUCCACAGGAGAUUUGCAAGCACAUUAGUCAACCCAACAAUGAUAUUUAGAUUUGAAAUUAUGGCCACGUGAUGGUGUUAGGAAACAUAUAUGUUUUGUAGAGAUAUUUUGAAUUGUAUAAUUUAUUACUUAUUUGUGAUUAAUGAUAAAUUAUUGUAUUCUUGACAUUAUAUGUUUAAAGGAUACUGGUAUUUGGUUGAGGAAGUUGGUUGUGGAGAUUGGUUGAAUAUUAUAUCAUUUUUAGGAGUGUUAAUUUUAUAAAUUACAGGUUUGGGGAUGUCAUAAUUAUAUAGGAAACUCUGCCGAAUUUUUGGUAGAAUUCUUAGAUAUUAGAAUUAUUAUUAAUUCGGUUAGGCGAGAUUAGAUAGACUCGUCCUAUGGCUUCGGGGCGGGUCGUUUCAGAUGCAAUAUAGAAAGGUAAUUGGUUGUACUUUCAGACAGCUCAAGCAACUGCAUUAUCCAACACAUGAUUUAGAGCUUGCAGUAGUGGUGUUUGAUUUAAAGACUUAGAGAAAUUAUUUAUAUGGAGUUACUUGUGAGAUAAUCAUUAAAACUUGAAGUACUUAUACACACAUAAGGAAUUAAAUAUGAGAUAACGUAGGUGGGUUGAGUUGAUUGCAAAUUAUGACUAUAUUAUUGAUUGCCAUCCAUGCAAGGUGAAUUUGGUGGCUGAUGCUCUCAUUAGGAGGUCUUCCAAUUCAAUAUCCCACCUUAAAGUGUUGUAUCUUCUAUUGUUGAUCAAUUUGAUAUCUUUGGGUAUGAACUUAGCAGUGGGUGAGAAUAGAGCACUUUUGACACAUUUUUAGGUUUGGCAUGUUCUGAUUGGCUAGAUUUGAGAGAUGCAUGACCAAAAUCAGAAAUUGAUCAAAAUGAAAGAAGAUGUGAAGAACGGAAUACAAAUGGACUUUUCACAUAGAAAUGAUGGUACUUUAGUGGUAGUAGACUUUGUGUGUCGAAUAAUUUAGAUUUUAAAAACUAGAUUUUAGAAUAAGCACAUAAUUCAGUAUAUGCUAUGCACCCAAAUAACACGAAGAUACAUCAUGUUUUGAGGGAGCACUAUUGAUGGCAGGGGAUAAAGAGAAACAUAGCAAAGUGUGUGGCACACUAUUUAAUUUGUUAGCAAGUUAAGGUAGAACAUCAGGGACCUAUGGGAGAAUCUCAAUCGCUUGAUAUUCCUGAGUGGAAAUAGGAGCAUGUUACCAUGGAUUUUAUAAUAGGACUUCCUCACGAAGUCUGCUCACUUUUUAUCUUACAAAAGUAAAUACUCUUAUAAUAUGUGUUGUGCAAAUUUUAUUGAACUCGCAAGUGCACGAAUCUAUUGUAGAAUAGAUCAAUGAUGACGAGUGUCGAUCCCACGAGGAGGUGGAUUUUAAUUGUGUAGAAUUAAUUUUCUAUGAGGGUGGUUGGAUUUCUGGUGAAAUUGAUUUGGAAUAUUCUAAAAUUGGAAUUGAAAUGGCGAGAAUAAAUUGAAGAGAAAUCCAUUGAAAUGACGUACUUGGGUAUAUGGAUCCGUAUCAACAUGCACCAUGGGCUAAAUAUUCCUUAUUAAUGCCAAUUCAAUCAUGAGGGGGGUUUCCACACCUCAUGAACCACGCUCUAAUCAAUAUGGUGCUAAGGGCUUAUCGUGCCAAAUAAUAAUAACCUUGUACUAGAGAGCCGGUGUAACCAAGGCGGUAUCUAGACAAGAUUAUUAUUAUUUGUCGAUGAAAAGUCAAAUCAUCCACAAAAAUUAGAGGGGAAAAGAAAAUAAAUUUACUAAAUAAAGCCCAUGACACAUGUUGACCCAAGCUUGAACUAGAGGCAAAAUGAGAAUUUAUUAAAAUAUGUAGAAAAUACAAGAUGGAGAAGGAAUUACAGAAAAUGGAUCCUAAAAAUGGAUUCAGAGCUAUCAAAUUAGGGGGGGGGGGGGAGGCCCCAUUUUUAUAGAUACAUUGAGUAAAUCAUGGCCAUCGGAUUAAAAACAGUUUGGACGCUCAGGAUUGCGCCACGUCAUCAGUCAACAAUAAGUUGUUUGACCACUUGGUUUGAACAGUAACACGAUUUGACCUGGCUUGAACAGUAACGCGGUUUGGUUGAAAAUAAUCCUGUGUAAUGCAUGUACCGUACGCGAGAUUUUUGGUCCACUGAUAUGCUGCCACGUCACCAUCAACAGUACAUAAGAAUUUUAGUCUAACAGGAUCGUGACACCUCAUCAGUUAAUGCCAUAUCAUCGGUCAAUACCACGUCAUCGAUUCGUCUAUGUGAACAAUGUCGUGAACAAUAACGUAGACAGUACCGUACAUGUGAAUAGUGCCAUUUUUCCUUUUAUGCUCUUCCUAAGAUUUUCGACCGUCCUGAGUUCAAAAGUGAUGUCCGUUUUGCCAUAUGAUCUCUCGUUUAUUGUGAAAUGACCAUGAUACUCCUAAAAUACAUAAAAUACUUAAUUAUAAUACAACACACAUAAUUAAAUGACAAGAAACUUAAAUACAUAAAAGUAUGAAUGUUAGUGGAACAUGAAGUGUAAAAUGACAAUUUUCUCCUUUAUAAAUAUACAUUUUUUAACACUCAACAAUAUGAUGGUGAAUUUGUAUGUAAAGGAAAUAGUAUGUUUGCUUGAAGCCCUUGUGUCUAUUUGUUUCAAAUAGAGACUUACGGUUUACUUCCAAGUUUUGGCCUUGUUUACAGCAAGCUAUGGGUUCUAGAUUAAAUUUUAGUAUAACUUUCAUCCGUAGAUAGACAAACAAUCAGUAAAGAUUAUUCAGCUUUUGAAAGAUAUGCUUCAAGCAUGUAUUAUGCAGUUUCAAGGUAAUUAGGAUACAUGCCUACCUUUUAUGGAGUUUGCUUAUAAUAAUAGUUAUCAGUCUAAUAUGAGUAACACUAGUAAGUGUACAUUUAAUAAAGGUCAAAAUUAUCAAUUUUUUACUUAUAGUGUUGAUAACACUAACAAUUUCAUUACAUUAAUAAAUCCUUAACCUAUUAUUAAAAUUAAUAAUUCUUAUUUGUUUUUAAUUAUAUUUUUUGUACUUCGUAGGUAAUUCCCUAAAAUCAUAAUGCUUGGAUUUAAAAAAUGGACGUAAAAUUUGGAUUCCAAAAACUCAAAAGCCAUUGGAGAUUUUCUAGCCCUUUGAUAUGGCAUUAUUACUGAAUGAUUUAGAUCAUUCCAUGCGUCCAAGCUCACAAACACCAUGUUAUACUAGAUUUUGCACACCAAAUUUGGUAGAUAAACUAUCUUGACAAAUUAACUCAACCAUAUUAACAAAUGAGCAAAAGGAAGGUCCCGCUUUGACUUCAAUCAUAACCAUUGAUUUUGUUAAAUCCAACGAUCCAUAUGGUUGCAAAUUUUAAACCCUUGGAUUGUACUACUAAAUCUCAUCUAAAUGGUUAUGAUUGUAAGAUCAACAAAAUAUUGUAAACACCCAUACUUGAUCAUUUAAAAUUUGCCUAUAAAAAGGUAAGAGCUCUCACAAUUGAGGAUGUGCUAGAUUUUGGGAAAAAAAAGAAAAGGGGAGAGAAUUGUGUGGUGGAUUUUUGGGGUGAGCAUUUUGGGUGUAAAUAUAGAGUGAAUUUAGGAAAAAAUUCUCUUUCCUUUCCCUUUGUUUUUAAAUUUUCUUGUAUUGGACUUUACAAAGUUUAUUAAAUAAAAUGAGUGUUUUCCUUUUAAACAAGAGUGGCUAAAUUUUCUAAGCUGAGGUGAAAGGUGAAGCUCAAGGAUUCAAAUCAUGGAAUUAAUUACUCUUUCAAGUGAGUUUUAAGUCUAUUUAUUUGUUAUAUGUUUAUAAUUUAUACUUUUUUCUUUAUUGAUUACUUUCAUGUCAUGUUAAUUUGUAGAUCUAGAUCUCCUUGAAUCUAUAUAGAAUUUUAACAUAAUGUCAACGCUCCAAUAUAGCUGUGACAAAUUAGGUUCUUGAUCUCAUAUUUAUCUAUACAAAUAGUUUAUUAUGAAAUAAAUGGCAUUAUAAUUAACUAGCAAAAGAAAUGCAAAAUAUAAAUAUGAGAGAGUAUUAUGACCAUAAUUUGAAAACUGAGAGUGGAUCUCGUAACCUUAUGAUUUUUCUAGAUCGGUCUUUAUUAAUUUUUUUUUGUAAUUAAUUUUUGUUUAAUAAUUAAUUACUAGAUUUAUAAAUUUCUUGUGAUUCGAUCCCAGACUCAUUAGAUUAUAUUAUAACUAGACACUCUUAUACUUGGGAGUAAUUAACAAUUUUGGAUUGUACUAUAGUAUUCAGAUGGCACCAUUUGAAGUUUUGUGUGGAAGAAAAUGCAGGACUCGAAUAUGUUGUCAUGAAGGUGGGGAGAGGCAGUUGUUAGGUCUAAAAAUCAUCUAGAGUACUGAUGAGAAGAUUAAUGUCGUCAGAGAAAAGUUAAAGGCAAUAUAAGAUAGAAAGAAGAGUUAUAUAGAUAAGCAUCAGAACCACUUGAGUUUACAAUGGGUGAUAGGGAAUGACGUUCUUCGAUUUGGAAAACAUGGGAGUCGAGCCCUUAGUAUAUAGGCCUAUACGAGAUUAUAUAGUGUGUUGGUCUAGUUGCUUACCGUUUAGCUUUACCUCUAGAGUUUUUACAAAUGCAUGAUGUUUUUCAUGUUUCUAUGGUUCAGAAGUGUUUCUAUGUUUUAGAACCAAUCUAAAUGACAACAGAUUUGAUUUAUGAAGUGAAACUAGUUCAGAUACUUGAUUGGAAACAACAUGCGGUACAUAAUAAGACGAUCUCACUAGUUAAAGUGAUAUGGAAGAGUCACAUUGCAGAGGAGAGCACUUCAGAGCAUGAGGAAUAGAUUCGGUCAUAGUACCCAUAUUUAUUUCAACCAAGUAUGUAAAUUUUGAGGAAGAAAUUUUUAUAAAUAUGGAGGAAUUGUAGCACACGUGCAUGCAAUGGAUAAAGCUAAAUGUAGCUUGUUAAAUUGGAAGCAGUCAGCUGCAUACUUCACUUGCUUGCUUGAACCGGUGCUUAUAUAUAUAUUUAAAAAUUGAGAGUUGCUUGCUUAGAUUUGGUGGCUAUUCGGUGGCUAUGUAAAGUGUAAAAUAUUGACAACAACUUCAUUGUAUCAAAUUGCAACCAAAAGCAAAGUAAAGACAGAGAGGAAAUUAAAAGAAAACGAGAGAAAGAAAGAAAUGAAAAGGAAAAGAGGUAGAGAAAGAAAAAAAAAGUGAAGAGAAGAAAAAAAGAAAAAGAAGAAGAAAAGAGUAGCUGAGAAUCAACGAAAAGAAAAAAAAAUUAGAAAAUUACAAGAACUGAAAUUGAAUAAUUAGAAUUAUAUUUGUUGGACUAAUGGGUAACAAAUUUAUGAAAUUUAAGCAAUUAUGAUUUAGUUUACGUUAUACAUAUAAGUUUUUAUAUCAUUUCUAAUAAUUAACUUUUGAACCCUGAAUUUUAGGAGAAAUCCAAGAACUCAAGAACCCACGAGAGUCCUAACGAAUCUCGAAGUGAAAUAGGAUCAGCUAUUGGAUAUUAUUAUUACUAUUAUAUAUUUUGUGAAGAAUUUAUAUUUGACAGUAUGAUUUAGUACAUGUUAUGAUUAUAUAUACGACAUUAUAUGAUCAAUUGAGUCAUGAUAUGUGAUUUCCAAUCACCAUAUGUGUACCCUUCUUCAUAGGCUCUAUGCAUGCGUAUUGAAAGUUAGAUUACUCUGCCUAUGUGAUAUAAUUAAAUUCCUCCGCGUAUUGAGAAGCUUUUCCUCUACUUUGCUCACAUGAUGAUGAUCUCAACGAGUAUUAUAGUUGUUUUCUUCGAUGCUAGUUGGUGCAAGUGUCAUGUAUUUAUGUAUGAAUUUCAUAUUUUCCUACGUAUUAUAUUCAGUGUGGAGUUAUGUCAUAUGAUUAUGUAUAAACAUUAGUAUACUACUUUAUUUUUACAUAUAUAAUUAUGUCCACUCACUAAGUGGCAAUCUCACUAUUUCCCUAGUACCCUAUGUCUCCUAAGUUUCCAUAGGAUUCCAUGUAGUUAAGUUUUUAACAUGUGAGGUUAGGCUACGAGAUGCAUUGCUGCAUAACUUGCAUUAUGAGCACGUUUAUGUUUAUGUGUAUAUAUUUGAGGUGUAUAUUUGUACAACGACAUGUGACCUGUGCAAGUUUUAAAUAUAUUUUCAGAUAAGGCACAUAUGUUAUUUUAUGAUUAUGGUAGAGGCUCCAGACCAAUUUUAUAUAUUUAUGAAUAAGUUUAUGACAUUAUUUUUACAAAAAUUUAAAAUAUACUACUAAAAGGGUAGUUUUUCACUUUCCUUCCUAAUGUAGAGUAUAUUUGUAAUUUGAUGGGGAGGAUCAGUUUAUUAGUGAAAAUCUCCCCAUAGAAUUUCAAAAAAAGCAUUUUUUUUUAUGGAGAGGUUAUUUAAACCUUCUAAAUCAAUUAUUAAAUCCAUUUACUAAAUGAAUUCACUCUUGAAGUUCCAAAUUUUCUAUUAAUCAAUCUAAAUACUCAAUAAAACCUUACUAAACAAAAUUAUUAUUAAACUAGUUUUUUUUUUACUUAAGAGAUUCAUGAUUAAAAUCAUAUGCAUAUAAAACCUUUAAUCGAACAAAUAUUUCUCUCUUGUCUUAUACAAGCAAAAUUUUAACCUCUUAUUUUAUAUCAAAUUAACUCCACUUCAUUAUUUUCAAGCUCUCUUUUGUUUCCUUAUUCUUCUUUUUCCUUUUUUUUUUCCAACAUAAAUGUCAAACUUUGCCUUAAUUUUAACAAAUAUGAAACUAAAUAUGGUAAUAACAACAUACAAAAAAUUAUUAAAAGAAAAAGCAGCAACAAAUACUUCUUUUGUUUUCUAUUUUUAUAUGAAUCUUGACCAUCAAGGCAUAUGAAAAAGAGAGUUCCACUAACAGUAGAAUUCCAAGUAACAUGUGAUUAAAAUUUGAUGUGCUUAGAGGGAUUUAAUGUUGAAGAAAGUGUGCAGAGAAUAAAACUCUUAUUGUUUAAUUUCUUCUUGUAUGACAAUAAUAGUAAGUUGUGUGAUAGGUAUUUUAAUAAUAAAUAGAUUUAUCAAAAAGUGGGUUUCUUGAGUACUUUGAUAGGUUCAAAUAGUCCCUUUUUUCUGAAUUAUAAAUAUUUUCCAUGCUUGAGAUGUUGCCACUUCUUCUAUAGAAGAAACUUUGCUUAAUUAUCAUCAUGACCCGUAUUUUGAAGCAUUGAAAUCGCUUGAUCCAUCUGUUAUUAUUAAUUCAUUAUUACCAUGAUCAUUUUAUGUUGUUAGUUGACUUUUAACUCUUAAAAUUAAGGGUGAGUUUGGUAAUGCUUUAGAUUUUAAAAUAAUUAAUAUUAAUUGUGUUGUAGAAUGAUCAACUGUGAAGAGAAUCAGUUAAAUAUUUAGUAAAAUUUAUAUUUAAAAGUGCUAUGAAUUUUAAAAGUAGUCAUAUGUGUUUGGUAAAUCUUAUUGUUAAACUGUUGUACAAUAAUCGACUAUGAAGAGAAUGUUAAAUAUUUGGUAAAAUUUAUAUUUAAAAGUGAUGUAAAUUUUAAAAGUAGUCAUAUGUGUUCGGUAAAUCUUACUGUUAAAUUGUUGUAAGAAUAUAAUUGACUCAAAAUUGAACGUAAUAUUGAAUAUAAUUUAUUUAAACAUAUAUAUAAAACAUUUCUUUUAUUGUGUGCAUAUAAUAAUUAACAAUUAAAAUAAUUUUUUAUAUUAUUAAUUUUAUUUUUUAUUUAGUCAUCUCAAUAUAAUCAGUUAUAAUACUCUUUAAAAUCAAUCAUUUUAUUUUCUAAUUAAAAAGGAUAAUUUUGAAUUUUUAUAACAUAUAUGAGGAUAUUUAUGAAAUUGUAUUAAGUAUAAUAGUGAUUCCCAAAAUCAGAUUCUGAAAAGCUAAUCUUUUCCUACUUUUCAAAAAUCUGAUGUAGAAAGGAGAUGAUUUUGUUAAAAAUGAUUUCUAAAAGGAUUUACCAAAUGCCAAAUUAAAUUUUAAUUUUUCAAAAUCACUUUUAAACUUCUCAAAAGCAAAAUCCCAAACCGACCCUAUGUCAAUUAGAGUCUUUGUAUUGUACAAAUUUUUUCCUUAAAUUAUUAGCCAUUUUUUAUGCAUAAAAUUUUUUCGUUUGUAAUAUUUUAUUUAGUUUAAGUCACAAAUUGUCUCUUAAGUGUAACAUAGCUGGUGAUACAAUUAGCUAAGUUCGAGUAAUAAUAAAAGUAAUGGUUAAUGUUUACUGGUAAGAUUUCUCAUCGUCUUUAAAAGGGAAAAAAAAUUAUAAUAAAAGAUUAGAGAACAUGAUAUCAUCUCUGCUUUGACAAAAUAGUGAAGUGUAUGCCAAUGCCACAAGGAUUCAAUAAAUUAAUAAGUGGCCAGGCAUUAUCCUACUGUUUUAAGCUUUUUGUUUUUCUAAAUAGAAUGUAUCAUUGAUGAAGAAGAACAAUUGUUGUUUGUAUAAGCAUCAGUUUGCUGUCAAAUGUGAUUGAAAAUGUUGCUAAUCAUCAUUAAGAAGGCUCUCUGUGUAUAAGCACGCUUAUUUUAGUUUUUGUAACUGUAAAUGUAACAAGAAACGACUGACUUCCUUCCUUCCCCAAGUUUGUCUUAUGUUAAAAUGCAUCCGUUACUUUUCAUCUUUUUGCCUUUUUCUGCAAUUUUAUCCCUUGUAAUUAAAUUGAAACCGCAAAAUGACUUUCUUUUGUCCUUUUCAGUGGUUUCAAAAUUUGCAUACACUCAAUCUAAUGCAAACAGAAAAUAUUUACGACUCUAUGCCCUUGCAGGUCCUAGAGUUACUGUUCGUACAAGUCCUCGAUGGGCAGCCUGCGGUGCUAAUUCUGUGAGUUCAACCACCGCGCUGUUUGUUCGCCUCUGUAUUCCUGGAUGUGAACCUCAGAAUAAAGCUGCUUAUGAUAGGGGAAAGUAGUGAUUAGCUAGCACAUGGACGUUGCACGUUGCUUUCCUAAAUGCUCUAUUAAUACUCCUUACGCUUUAUUGAGCAGUGACCUUAUUACCACUAGAUGCGCAGGAGUAGGUUUGUGCAGUGCCACUUUGUCCACAAACGGAUAUUCUCUCUAAUAUAGUCAUAUAUGGCGUCCUAAAAACCAUAUAUAAAUAUCUCUCUUAUAUUAUAUAUGGUUUUUAGGACGCUAUAUAUGACUAUAUUUGAAAAAACAUUAUCCGCUCAUAUAUUAUAUAUGGGUUUUAGGUCAUGUACAAGAAUUUAUUCUCUUGGAUAUCUCUCGCUCAUAUAUUAUAUAUAUAUGGUUUUUUGGACACCUGAUAUGACUAUAUUUUAAAAAAGGGAAAUUAUCAUUACACUACUUUUAUUUUGCCUUAUGUUCAUCCAACCACUACAAAAUUUUAACAUGUAUUUUGUACCACUUUUUUUUUUUUUACAUUUUUAUCAACUAGCCACUUUUACAUUAACACUAUUAAAUAAUUUUAAUAAAAUGAUAAUUUUACCCCCAAAUAAAUUAAAAGACCAUUUUAUUUUAUAAAAACUUUAAAAAUUAAAAAAAUAUAAUGAUAAAAUAUCCCUAAAUUUAAUAAAAAUAAAUCCCAAAAUUAGAAUUUUUAUUUUUAAUAUAAAAUUAUAAUCAUAAAAAUAAUUACAAAAUUUUGGGAUUUAAUAAAAAUCCCAUAAAUUAUUAAAAUUUUAGUAUUUAUUCUUUUAAGAAAUAAAUUCAGUUAUUUUAAUUUUUUUUUACAAAAUUAUAUUUUUUUAAUAAAUAAAUUCAUUUAUUUAUAUUAAAAUUUUGUAAAAUUAUAAUUUUUUAAAAAAAUAAUUAUUAAAAUUUUGUAAAAUCUAAAUUUAGUAAAAAUCAGUUGAGCACCUCUAUUUGGGAUUUAUUUUUUAUUAAAUUUAGGGAUAUUUUUAUGAUUAUAAUUUUUAAUUUUAAAAGUUUUUAUAAGAUAAAAUAAUUUUUUAAUUUAUUUGGGGGUAAAAUUGUCAUUUUAUUAAAAUUAUUUAAUAGUGUUAAUGCAAAAGUGACUUGUUGAUACAAAUGUGAAAAAAAAAAGGUGGUGCAAAAUACAUGUUAAAAUUUUAUAGUGGUUGGAUAAACAUAAGGCUAAAUAAAAGUGGUGCAAUGAUAAUUUCCGUUUAAAAAAACAUUAUCCACUCAUAUAUUAUAUAUGGUUUUUAGGUCAUGUACGAGAAUUUAUUUCUUUGGAUAUCUAUUACUCAUAUAUGAUAUACACUUUUUAGGGCACUAGAUAUGACUACAUUAAAGAAAUAUAUAUAUGACUAUAUUGAAAAAAAAAAAAACAUUGUCCGCUCAUAUAUUAUAUGUAAUGCACCUGCACGUGACUUAAGAAGCUACCCAUGACUUAGUAGUUAAAAAGCAGUGAGCUGCUUGUUUUAUACUUUUAUUUAAGCAACACAUGCAUAAUUCAUCAUGUCACCUGCAUGCUUCAUCAAAUUCACAUGCUUGCUUCACCGAUUACACACCUGCCUGCUUCAUUCACUUGGCCACCCCCUGUUUACGUCCUCCUAGUUGCAUCAUUCUGGGUGGUACAUAAAGUCGAAAUAAAUUGGAAGCUGCUUCAUUUUUCUUAAUUUGGAGAAUCCAAAAUCGAGAGCAAACAAAAGGAAAAAGGAAGAGAAAUAGAAAAGCUAAGAAAGAAACUAAGAGAAAAAGCGAGAAGAGAAGAAAAUGGAAAGAAAAGAAAUAAAACAAAAUAAAAAUUGAAAACCGAGAGUGAGAAAGAAAUGGACAAGGAAAGCGAAAGUGGAAAAGUUAUAGGAAAUUAGAUUUAUAUCCAAUGAAUUAGUGGGUAAUAAAUUUAUGAAAUUUGAGUAAUUAUGUUACAGGUUUCAUUAUAUGCAUCAUCUAAUUGUUAAUUUUUGAAUCCAUAGGAGCCCUAAUGAAUCCCAGAGUGAAAAAAGAUCUAUGAGUGGAUACUAUUAUUACUAUUAUGUAUGUUGUAAAGCAUUUAUACUUGAUAGUAUGAUUUAGUAUUAUGUUAUGAUUAUAUGUAUGCACAUUAUAUCAUUGAUUGAGCCAUGAGAUAUGAUUGUGAGUCACCAUAUGUGUACCCUUCCCCAUAGACUCUGCGCAUGCAUAUUAAGAGUUAGAUUACUCUAUACGUAUGAUGUAGUUAAAUUUCGUUAGGUAUUGAGAGGUUUUUCCUCUGCUUUACCAGUGCGAUGAUGAUCCCAGCGAGUAUGAUAGUUAUUCCCCUAGUUACUCUUUGGUGCAGUUUGUCAAGUAUGUACAUAUGAUAUGUCAUGUUUGCUUAUGCAUUAUGUUCAAAGUGGAGGUAUGUCAUAUGAUUCUGUAUAAGCACUAAUACAUGCUUUACUUAUAUAUAUAUACAUAUAUACACUAAGACACAAGCUCACUAUUUUUCUAUUUACCCCAUUUCUCCCAAGUUUCACAGGAUUUUGUGUAGUUCAGUUUCUAAUCAUUUUGAGGUUGGGCCACGACACAUAUUGUUGCAUGACUUGCAUUUUGAGCACGUAUAUAUAUAGUGACAUAUGAAGUGUGCAAGUUCUUUUGGAUGGGCACAUAUGGUAUUAUAUGUUUAUAGUAGAGGCUCAAGGCCAGUUUUAUAUAUUCAUAAAUUAAGUUUAUGUUAUGAGUUUUAGAUGUUAGAUCACAUGAUUCGCCUCAGAUAUAACAGAUGGAUCCAGGAUGCUCAUGUCAUUAUAUAUGGUUUUUAGGUCAUUUACGAGCAUUUUUGUACUUGGAUAUCUGUCCCUCAUAUAUUAUAUAUGGUUUUUAAAACAGCAAGUAUGCCUAUAUUUGAAAAAAAAACAUUAUUCGCUCCUAUAUUAUAUAUGUAUUUUAGGUUGUGUACCAUAGUUUAUUUCCACGGAUAUCUCUCGCUCAUAUAUUAUAUACGGUUUUUAGGACACCAUAUAUGACUAUAUUUAAAAAAAAACUAUUAUCACUCAUAUUAUAUAUGUCUUUUAGGACGUGUACAAGAAUUUUUGUCCUUGGAUAGAUCUCACUUAUAUAUUAUAUAUGGUUUUUAGGACACUAGAUAUGACUAUAUUUGAAAAAUAAAAUAUUAUUCGCUCUUAUAUUAUAUAUGGAUUUUAGGUCGUAUAUGAGAAUUUUUGUCCUUAGAUAUUUCUCGCUUAUAUUUGAGAAAACAUUAUCCACCUGUAUACUAUAUAAGGAUUUUACAACAUCAGAUAUGACUAUAUUUAAAAAAAAAUAUUAUCUUUUUGUUCUUAUUAACUCACACAUAUAUUGAUGUACUUUUUUUUUUUUAAUUUAUGCACCUAAUAAAGUUUGAAUUCAAGAUCUGCGUUCUAAGAAAGCCGCUUCUUAUCUCUCAAUUUAGACUUUUUAUUAGUACUUUUUAGUAUUUUUACUAAAAAAAGUUAAUAAUUACAAUAUUACUUGAUAACAAAUCCAAUAUACUUUUUAUCAUUUAAGUAAGGUUUGAACUUCAAAUCUUUAGUGUUAUCCCAAAAAUUAACCCAAUAUGUUAAUUAGUCGUUAGUCAUUGAGCCUUUGGCUCGAUAGUAAUAAAUUUGUGCUCUCGAUUUCAAGGCACAAAUUUAAGUUCCAACGCCUGUGAGACUCAAAAUUUCCCUUCCAAUUACAUAAUUGGAUAUCUUUUCAAAAUUAGUGACUGAUAAAUAUAUUUAGACUAUGAGAUAGUAGAAUAAUAUAUCUAAGGAUAUCCCAGAUGAUUUAUGGAAAGGUUACGUGUCUCUAGAUUAUCAUUGAUUUGUAUAUUUAAAUAGUAGUAUAGUUUUGAUUGAUUUUUUUAAUCCCUCAUUUAUAAAUUGCAACCUAUAUCAAAAGCCCAUGUUUCUUCCACGUCCUUAUAACCACAGCAACCACAACAUGGAUACUAAUGGAGCUGAUACUGAAAUAUGCAAUACCCACUUGCCCGAAAAGCCUGAACUUUCACCAACUUUAAUUUCAGACACCGAACUCCUAUCUGAAUUCUCACACCAUGCCCAAAACAAAGCUAGAAUCAAUAAUGGAAGCUUCGGUUGUUGCCCCAAGAGUGUUUUGUCAGCACAGCAGAAGUGGCAACUUGAGUUCCUCAAACAACCUGAUGACUAUUACU
RNAcentral lists this long non-coding RNA (31745 nucleotides) under Citrus maxima (pomelo). RNAcentral's name for it is "long non-coding RNA (CMAX_LNC002199)". The record is from RNAcentral. Lineage: Eukaryota; Viridiplantae; Streptophyta; Magnoliopsida; Sapindales; Rutaceae.